This 2927-nucleotide ribosomal RNA is filed under the name Escherichia coli. RNAcentral describes it as "23S ribosomal RNA". It matches the Rfam family "Bacterial large subunit ribosomal RNA". The record is from RNAcentral. Lineage: Bacteria; Pseudomonadati; Pseudomonadota; Gammaproteobacteria; Enterobacterales; Enterobacteriaceae.
GGGUUGUGAGGUUAAGCGACUAAGCGUACACGGUGGAUGCCCUGGCAGUCAGAGGCGAUGAAGGACGUGCUAAUCUGCGAUAAGCGUCGGUAAGGUGAUAUGAACCGUUAUAACCGGCGAUUUCCGAAUGGGGAAACCCAGUGUGAUUCGUCACACUAUCAUUAACUGAAUCCAUAGGUUAAUGAGGCGAACCGGGGGAACUGAAACAUCUAAGUACCCCGAGGAAAAGAAAUCAACCGAGAUUCCCCCAGUAGCGGCGAGCGAACGGGGAGCAGCCCAGAGCCUGAAUCAGUGUGUGUGUUAGUGGAAGCGUCUGGAAAGGCGUGCGAUACAGGGUGACAGCCCCGUACACAAAAAUGCACAUGCUGUGAGCUCGAUGAGUAGGGCGGGACACGUGGUAUCCUGUCUGAAUAUGGGGGGACCAUCCUCCAAGGCUAAAUACUCCUGACUGACCGAUAGUGAACCAGUACCGUGAGGGAAAGGCGAAAAGAACCCCGGCGAGGGGAGUGAAAAAGAACCUGAAACCGUGUACGUACAAGCAGUGGGAGCACAGAGCAAUCUGUGUGACUGCGUACCUUUUGUAUAAUGGGUCAGCGACUUAUAUUCUGUAGCAAGGUUAACCGAAUAGGGGAGCCGAAGGGAAACCGAGUCUUAACUGGGCGUUAAGUUGCAGGGUAUAGACCCGAAACCCGGUGAUCUAGCCAUGGGCAGGUUGAAGGUUGGGUAACACUAACUGGAGGACCGAACCGACUAAUGUUGAAAAAUUAGCGGAUGACUUGUGGCUGGGGGUGAAAGGCCAAUCAAACCGGGAGAUAGCUGGUUCUCCCCGAAAGCUAUUUAGGUAGCGCCUCGUGAAUUCAUCUCCGGGGGUAGAGCACUGUUUCGGCAAGGGGGUCAUCCCGACUUACCAACCCGAUGCAAACUGCGAAUACCGGAGAAUGUUAUCACGGGAGACACACGGCGGGUGCUAACGUCCGUCGUGAAGAGGGAAACAACCCAGACCGCCAGCUAAGGUCCCAAAGUCAUGGUUAAGUGGGAAACGAUGUGGGAAGGCCCAGACAGCCAGGAUGUUGGCUUAGAAGCAGCCAUCAUUUAAAGAAAGCGUAAUAGCUCACUGGUCGAGUCGGCCUGCGCGGAAGAUGUAACGGGGCUAAACCAUGCACCGAAGCUGCGGCAGCGACGCUGAUGCGUUGUUGGGUAGGGGAGCGUUCUGUAAGCCUGUGAAGGUGUACUGUGAGGUAUGCUGGAGGUAUCAGAAGUGCGAAUGCUGACAUAAGUAACGAUAAAGCGGGUGAAAAGCCCGCUCGCCGGAAGACCAAGGGUUCCUGUCCAACGUUAAUCGGGGCAGGGUGAGUCGACCCCUAAGGCGAGGCCGAAAGGCGUAGUCGAUGGGAAACAGGUUAAUAUUCCUGUACUUGGUGUUACUGCGAAGGGGGGACGGAGAAGGCUAUGUUGGCCGGGCGACGGUUGUCCCGGUUUAAGCGUGUAGGCUGGUUUUCCAGGCAAAUCCGGAAAAUCAAGGCUGAGGCGUGAUGACGAGGCACUACGGUGCUGAAGCAACAAAUGCCCUGCUUCCAGGAAAAGCCUCUAAGCAUCAGGUAACAUCAAAUCGUACCCCAAACCGACACAGGUGGUCAGGUAGAGAAUACCAAGGCGCUUGAGAGAACUCGGGUGAAGGAACUAGGCAAAAUGGUGCCGUAACUUCGGGAGAAGGCACGCUGAUAUGUAGGUGAAGUCCCUCGCGGAUGGAGCUGAAAUCAGUCGAAGAUACCAGCUGGCUGCAACUGUUUAUUAAAAACACAGCACUGUGCAAACACGAAAGUGGACGUAUACGGUGUGACGCCUGCCCGGUGCCGGAAGGUUAAUUGAUGGGGUCAGCGCAAGCGAAGCUCUUGAUCGAAGCCCCGGUAAACGGCGGCCGUAACUAUAACGGUCCUAAGGUAGCGAAAUUCCUUGUCGGGUAAGUUCCGACCUGCACGAAUGGCGUAAUGAUGGCCAGGCUGUCUCCACCCGAGACUCAGUGAAAUUGAACUCGCUGUGAAGAUGCAGUGUACCCGCGGCAAGACGGAAAGACCCCGUGAACCUUUACUAUAGCUUGACACUGAACAUUGAGCCUUGAUGUGUAGGAUAGGUGGGAGGCUUUGAAGUGUGGACGCCAGUCUGCAUGGAGCCGACCUUGAAAUACCACCCUUUAAUGUUUGAUGUUCUAACGUUGACCCGUAAUCCGGGUUGCGGACAGUGUCUGGUGGGUAGUUUGACUGGGGCGGUCUCCUCCUAAAGAGUAACGGAGGAGCACGAAGGUUGGCUAAUCCUGGUCGGACAUCAGGAGGUUAGUGCAAUGGCAUAAGCCAGCUUGACUGCGAGCGUGACGGCGCGAGCAGGUGCGAAAGCAGGUCAUAGUGAUCCGGUGGUUCUGAAUGGAAGGGCCAUCGCUCAACGGAUAAAAGGUACUCCGGGGAUAACAGGCUGAUACCGCCCAAGAGUUCAUAUCGACGGCGGUGUUUGGCACCUCGAUGUCGGCUCAUCACAUCCUGGGGCUGAAGUAGGUCCCAAGGGUAUGGCUGUUCGCCAUUUAAAGUGGUACGCGAGCUGGGUUUAGAACGUCGUGAGACAGUUCGGUCCCUAUCUGCCGUGGGCGCUGGAGAACUGAGGGGGGCUGCUCCUAGUACGAGAGGACCGGAGUGGACGCAUCACUGGUGUUCGGGUUGUCAUGCCAAUGGCACUGCCCGGUAGCUAAAUGCGGAAGAGAUAAGUGCUGAAAGCAUCUAAGCACGAAACUUGCCCCGAGAUGAGUUCUCCCUGACUCCUUGAGAGUCCUGAAGGAACGUUGAAGACGACGACGUUGAUAGGCCGGGUGUGUAAGCGCAGCGAUGCGUUGAGCUAACCGGUACUAAUGAACCGUGAGGCUUAACCUUACAACGCCGAAG